This 273-nucleotide unclassified non-coding RNA is filed under the name Hevea brasiliensis (rubber tree). The record is from RNAcentral. Lineage: Eukaryota; Viridiplantae; Streptophyta; Magnoliopsida; Malpighiales; Euphorbiaceae.
GGAAAUAACAUUACAACUGACUCAUUUACAUUGCACAACCAGUAUUGGGGAAGUGGUCUUCGCAGGAGAAAGUUGAACAAGAAUCAUCUGAACUCUGUCAUUUCCGAAAGGCCUUUCACUGCGCGAUUCUGAGACACAGUUUCUCAAACAUGUUAUCAAACUAUGUGUCACAGUAUGUUGUUUACUAUGUUGUAAAAUCUAUCUACUUUUGUUGCAGAGAGUGGAUCCAGCUAUUUUCCCAGUGUAUUGGUUCAUGUAAAAUAAGGAUUUGUG